GAUGAAGAACGUAGCGAAAUGCGAUACGUAAUGUGAAUUGCAGAAUUCAGUGAAUCAUCGAAUCUUUGAACGCAUAUUGCGCUCUCUGGUAUUCCGGAGAGCAUGCUUGUUUGAGUAUCAGUAAACACCUCAACUUCCAUAUCUUUUUUGAAAUGGGAGUUGGACUUGAGUGAUCCCAACGCUUUUCCUCACCGAAAAGUGGCGGGUUACUUGAAAUGCAGGUGCAGCUGGACUUUUCUCUGAGCUAUAAGCAUAUCUAUUUAGUCUGCCUAAAAAACAGAUUAUUACCUUUGCUGCAGCUAACAUAAAGGAGAUUAGUUCUUGUGCUGACUGAUGCAGGAUUCACAAAGACGGCUUCGGCCGACUUUGUAAACUCGAUCUCAAAUCAAGUAGGACUACCCGCUGAACUUAAGCAUAUCAAUAAGCGGAGGA
This 432-nucleotide unclassified non-coding RNA is filed under the name soil metagenome. RNAcentral describes it as "partial contains 5.8S ribosomal RNA, internal transcribed spacer 2, and large subunit ribosomal RNA". The stretch from base 1 to 120 matches the Rfam family "5.8S ribosomal RNA", at positions 35 to 154 of the family's 154-position model. The record is from RNAcentral.